CCAACCACAUGUUAGCAAUGGUGUGUGAUAUCACCACUGUAGCAACAGAGCCUUCUCUUCUUCCCCACCCCUUCCUUUGCUGGCUGAGCUAAAGCAGUGGGUCAUUCUAGCUGACGCGUUUCCUCACACCAACACUGAAAAGCAUGUCUUUUACUAAGACUGUAAGCAAAAUAAGGAUUACUGCUCUUCUCUUCAGCUCCAGAAUGGAAUGGAAAGAAGCGGUCAAUUUGUUUCAAGUCAAGACUGCUGCAGAAAUCAAAGCAGUACUUCAUGGACUACUUGUGAAUUAAAUAUUUCUUUCUGCAGGGAAUAAGAUGAAAAAAGAAUGGAUUUUCAGAAAGUGCCAGUAAGAUCUUGAUGUUUUUGCCUCCUGCAAAAUUCUGGUGAAGAACAUAAAUGUUAGAAGUGAGGGAAACAUGGCAAUGAUCUUUCUUCCUACUGAGUUUUGGAAACAGUGCCAACCCAAUGUGACUAUUGUAUGCAAAAGCAAAAGCUGUGUUACUUGAAUCGUCUGAAAGAGACUGACACAGGGCAAAUAACUUUCCUACCCCUGAGUUGUCCAUGUACAGGAUGCGAAUUUUGCAGUAGGAUCUGUGAUAAUGUAAGCAAGGAACUUAGAUAGUCAAACAGAGAGCAUGUGCCAGCAUGUUGUGCAACAGUUACUCAUAAUUCCAAAGUAUUUGUACUUUACUGACUUGGAUCUAAUUCUUAUUAUAAAAAGAGCCUUACGGUC
Molecule: long non-coding RNA, 733 nt
Organism: Pantherophis guttatus
Lineage: Eukaryota; Metazoa; Chordata; Lepidosauria; Squamata; Colubridae
Source: RefSeq, a predicted model, not a curated record